CCUACGGGAGGCAGCAGUGGGGAAUAUUGCGCAAUGGGCGAAAGCCUGACGCAGCGACGCCGCGUGAGGGAUGAAGGUCUUCGGAUCGUAAACCUCUGUCAGCAGGGAAGAACGGUCACUGUGCUAAUCAGCAGUGAAUUGACGGUACCUGCAAAGGAAGCACCGGCUAACACCGUGCCAGCAGCCGCGGUAAUACGGAGGGUGCGAGCGUUAAUCGGAAUUACUGGGCGUGAAGGGCUCGUAGGCGGUAUGUCAAGUCAAGGGUGAAAUCCCCGCGCUCAACGUGGGAACUGCCUUUGAACCUGGCAAACUUGAGUGUGUGAGAGGAUAGUGGAAUUCCAGGUGUAGGAGUGAAAUCCGUAGAUAUCUGGAGGAACAUCAGUGGCGAAGGCGACUAUCUGGCACAUAACUGACGCUGAGGAGCGAAAGCGUGGGUAGCAAACAGGAUUAGAUACCCGGGUAGUC
This 465-nucleotide ribosomal RNA is filed under the name uncultured bacterium. RNAcentral's name for it is "partial 16S ribosomal RNA". It matches the Rfam family "Bacterial small subunit ribosomal RNA", at positions 338 to 795 of the family's 1533-position model. The record is from RNAcentral.